AGAGGGUGCAAGCGUUAAUCGGAGUUACUGGGCGUAAAGGGCGCGUAGGCUGAUAUUUAAGUCGAUUGUGAAAUCCCCGGGCUUAACCUGGGAAUUGCAUUCGAUACUGAAUAUCUAGAGUAUGGUAGAGGAAAGUAGAAUUCUCGGUGUAGUGGUAAAAUACGUAGAUAUCGAGAGGAAUACCGGUGGCGAAGGCGACUUUCUGGACCAAUACUGACGCUGAGGCGCGAAAGCGUGGGGAGCAAAC
RNAcentral lists this ribosomal RNA (247 nucleotides) under uncultured Legionellales bacterium. RNAcentral's name for it is "partial 16S ribosomal RNA". It matches the Rfam family "Bacterial small subunit ribosomal RNA", at positions 527 to 773 of the family's 1533-position model. The record is from RNAcentral. Lineage: Bacteria; Pseudomonadati; Pseudomonadota; Gammaproteobacteria; Legionellales.